AGUGGGGAAUCUUAGACAAUGGGCGCAAGCCUGAUCUAGCCAUGCCGCGUGUGUGAAGAAGGCCUUAUGGUUGUAAAGCACUUUAAGCGAGGAGGAGGCUCUUCUAGUUAAUACCUAGGAUGAGUGGACGUUACUCGCAGAAUAAGCACCGGCUAACUCUGUGCCAGCAGCCGCGGUAAUACAGAGGGUGCGAGCGUUAAUCGGAUUUACUGGGCGUAAAGCGUACGUAGGCGGCUUUUUAAGUCGGAUGUGAAAUCCCUGAGCUUAACUUAGGAAUUGCAUUCGAUACUGGGAAGCUAGAGUAUGGGAGAGGAUGGUAGAAUUCCAGGUGUAGCGGUGAAAUGCGUAGAGAUCUGGAGGAAUACCGAUGGCGAAGGCAGCCAUCUGGCCUAAUACUGACGCUGAGGUACGAAAGCAUGGGGGGCAAACAGGAUUAGAUACCCUGGUAGUCCAUGCCGUAAACGAUGUCUACUAGCCGUUGGGGCCUUUGAGGCUUUAGUGGCGCAGCUAACGCGAUAAGUAGACCGCCUGGGGAGUACGGUCGCAAGACUA
This 552-nucleotide ribosomal RNA is filed under the name uncultured bacterium. Its description in RNAcentral is "bacterial SSU rRNA". It matches the Rfam family "Bacterial small subunit ribosomal RNA", at positions 353 to 896 of the family's 1533-position model. The record is from RNAcentral.